This 292-nucleotide ribosomal RNA is filed under the name uncultured Bacteroidota bacterium. RNAcentral's name for it is "uncultured Bacteroidetes bacterium partial 16S ribosomal RNA". Lineage: Bacteria; Pseudomonadati; Bacteroidota. The record is from RNAcentral.
GGACUACCGGGGUUUCUAAUCCUGUUUGAUCCCCACACUUUCGUGCCUCAGCGUCAGUUACAGCCUAGUUAGCUGCCUUCGCAAUCGGUGUUCUUGAUGGUAUCUAUGCAUUUCACCGCUACACCAUCAAUUCCGCCAACCUCGUCUGUACUCAAGUCAACCAGUAUCAAUGGCAGUUCUGAAGUUGAGCUCCAGGAUUUCACCACUGACUUAAUUAACCGCCUACGCACCCUUUAAACCCAAUAAAUCCGGACAACGCUUGCACCCUCCGUAUUACCGCGGCUGCUGGCAC